Molecule: non-coding RNA, 730 nt
Organism: Macaca mulatta (Rhesus monkey)
Lineage: Eukaryota; Metazoa; Chordata; Mammalia; Primates; Cercopithecidae
Source: RefSeq, a predicted model, not a curated record
GCCCGCUGAUGUCAUCCCCGGCCCGCCGCCGCCGCCCCGGAGGAUUUAAAGGGCCCGCGCCCUCCGCGCUGGGGGCCGCAGCCGCGAGACGCAGUCCCCCAGCCCCAGUGCAGGAGCGCGGGCUUACGCGUGGGGGUAGGGGAGCGCACAGAUACUGACACCCUAAUGCAGUCCAGGGCACAGGUGGAAAAGACGGGCUGAGGGGACACAGGGAAGAGGGGAAGAGGAGGGCGCACAAAAAGCGGGGGUGAUGGGAGGGGAGGGUCUAGACCCAAAGUCUUCUCUCCCCGCCUGCCGGGUUCUCUCUCCUCUCCAGGCGGAGCACUGGGCCCCUGCGAAAACAGGCGCUAUUCACGACACUGCAAAAGAUGUUAGACUGCUGGGGGCUCAGUCCGUCUCCAGGUUCAGAGUGCCGCAGAGAACACAGGCCAGGUUGAUUCCGGGCAAGAGAUUUGAGGAGACAGCUCAAACUGUGAUGGGCACAGAGAGGACCCUCAGAUCCCACUCUCAUUCUCCCCUGUUGAAGGAGGGGUGCCACAGUACCAAAGCACCGACACCUGAGUCAUGGCUCCGAGUGGUGCACGAGUGGUGGUGCACGUUUAGCCAAGUCACCUCCCAGCUCUGAGCUUGGGUUUCCUUAAACAGCAAAUGGGAGGAAGGACCCUGUCCUCCCCAGGUCACAGGGAGAAUUAAUAAAAGCUUCUACUGGCAUCCAGAGCCGCCGAUGAAA